This is a long non-coding RNA of Canis lupus familiaris (dog), 3645 nucleotides long. RefSeq lists it as uncharacterized. The record is from RefSeq and is a predicted model, not a curated record. The transcript is spliced from 3 exons. NCBI's taxonomy places the organism in Eukaryota, Metazoa, Chordata, Mammalia, Carnivora, Canidae.
UCUGUACUGAGCCCAGAGCCUGAUGUGGGGCUUGAUCCCACAACCUUGAGAUAUGAACUGAGCCAAUACCAAGAGCCAGAUGCUUAACUGACCAAGCCACCUAGGUGUCCCUGAAGUCCUAAAUCCUAAGUAGAAAAUACGGUAAUUUUAAAAGUUUGGUAUAUUACUUCUAUGGCUUAUUAACAUAUAUUAUGUACAUACAGCUUGUCCUUUUUAUAGUAAACCUGGCUAGAUGAAUCACUUAUACUAAGCACUGUAAAAUAAAAGCAAGAGCAAAAUGUUUUUAGCAAAAUUCUCUGUAUGAGAGAACUCUAAGUAUCAAAGAUAUUCAUUAGUAGUUGUUAUGGACUGAAUGGUGUCCUCUACCUUCCCAAAUUCAUAUGUUGAAGCUUCAUCUCCAAUGUCACUGUGUUUGGAGACACAGCAUUUAAGGAGAUAAUCAAGGUUAAAUGUGGUCAUAAGGGUGAGUCCCUAAAACCAAUAGGAUUGGUGUCCUUAUAAGAGGGAGACACCAGGAGAGCACACAGAGGACCACAGAAGACAACAGUGAGAAGGUACCACCUGCCAACCAAGGGGAAGGCUCACCAGAAACCAACUCUCCUGGCAUUCUCAUCUUGGAAUUGUAGCCUUCCCAACAACAAAUUUCUGUUGUUUAAGUGAUAUUGUUAUGGUAGCCCUAGCCCAUGAAUACUGUGGUUGAUCAUCAUCUGCUACAAAACAUGUAACAAAGCAUCUUCAUUGAAUUGUUUUCCCUAUUGCAGCUGUCCUUUGGCAUCUAAAAGGAUUUCCCAUAAAAAUAAGCUGCAGUGAAAUUCACUUAAUGAUUAGUUUAUAACAAUCUCUUUAAAAAAUUUUUUUUUCUUUCUGCCUAUUCUCACAGGGGCAUCAUGAUAUUGGAAGUAUUUGUAGGAAGAUGUUAUUUGAGUAAUUUCAAAUGAUGCAUAGCCCUUCAUGUUAGAAAGGUGCUUUGUGGUCACAACUACUUCAAAACAUUAAUUAUAUUCAAAUAACCUGACAUAUCAAGCUUCAGCCAUUCCAGAAGCAUGGUUUUGACACACAGCAAUUUUUUAAUCAUGCAAAUGUGAAAUGUGCAGUGCUGAAAACUAAAGUGUACAGUGCUGCAAAACUCAGAUGAUGACCUAAUGUCCAGAUAACAUAACCAGCUCACAGUAAGCCAUACUACAUCAUCAAGACUUUGGGGAGCAUAAUUCCAAAGAAGGGAAUACCUUUCCCAUUGUUACAACAUUUCACUAUAUCAAUACAGUAGUCUUUAACACAAUAGUCAUACUUUUGUUGGAAUCACAUACUACUUUCAAGAUGAUUUUCACUCCGUGAUUUAAGUACCAAAACAAUGUAGAGUCUCAUGAUGGACUGCAAGAUCACAGAAACUCAUAAGGCUUUUUAAAAGAAUGUACUUCUCCACUUAAAAGUAAAUUUACUCAUGCAAGCUGUUGAGGUUUAAGACAGCAGAGCAAUUGCGCGUAUAUAAAAUGUGGCUCUUUUUUAUCCAGGGGUUGGUCUGAAAGCAUGUAGUUUCAAUGCACAAAAAAGCUUCAAAAUUCUACCUUAAGGAGAUCCAACAGCCUUUAAAAAAUUUUCCCAAUAAUAUUUUAUAGUUCUUUUGCACAGAGGACUUGGACAUUCAUUCCUAGGAAAGUGAUACUUUUUCAUGUUAUUAUAAAUUGUGACUGUAACAGACAGAAUCAUAGUCCUCAAAGAUGGCCAUAUCAUAAUCCCCAGAGUCUGUGACUAUGUUACAUUAAGUGACAAAAGGGACUUAAGGUUUGCAGUUGGCAAUUAAGGCUACUAAUCAGAUAAUCUUAAAGCAGAGAUCAUCCAGGUGGGCCCAAUCUACUUAGCUUAAUGGCUAAAGACUGAAGCAGAAGAGUGGGUCAAAGGGAUGCUACACAGGGAUUCAAUCUCUCUGCUGGCUUUGAAGAUGAAGGAAGGAGACCACAAGCCAAGGAAUGCAGUGGCCUCCAGAAUGACCUUGAAUUUACAUCCAGCAAAAAAACUGCUCUGCAACCACAAGGAACUGAAUUGUUCCAACAAAGCCAAAGAAGCAGGAGGCAGAAUCUCCUAGAUCUUCCAGAAGAGUGCAGCCCUGAAGACCUCUUCAUCUUAGCCUUGGGACUCCGACCUUUGAAGAUACUAUGACAUAGAGUUUGACAUUCCCCCCAGUGCAGAGUAACCCAUAGGGAACUCACAUCAUGGAUUUUAAACAGGGUGGUGUGAUACAACCACAUCUGUAGCUGUGGGAGGACACCGGGAAGGGCCAGUAAGUGGAAGCAGGAAGAUCAGUGUAGUUCAGAGAGGAUGAUGUCUGAAACCAUGCCAGAUGGUGGUGGAGAUGGACAGAUUCCAGAUGAUUGACUGGAGGCACAGUUGAUGGGUUUGCCAAGGGACUGGUUGUAGAGGGUGGGCAGCAGCAACACUGGAUGGUUCCUAGAUUUCUGACUUCAAAUCAGUGAAUAUGGUUUCCCUGGUGGAGAUGAGAAAACCUGGGCAGGUGACACACUUUGAUGUACGUGUGAGUGACUAAGAAACUAACGUGUCAAACUUGAGAUGUGAGACACCUGAAUGGAGAUCACAGGGACCUGGUCUGCUGAAGCAUGUGGCUGUGUAAAGGGGCCUCCCUCCCUGUGUGCACUGAAGAUGAAUACACACAUGGCAAAGGGGGGAACAGAGAAUCUGCAAGGAACCCCAUCUUUGGUGACUCCAAGUAGCUAGGUGCGGCCAGAAGCCUGGAAAGCUCACACCCCUUGCUGGCAGGGUUCUGCUGAGGGAAGGCUCAUGGAAGACACUCAGAAGAUGCUGGGAGGCAGCAGGUGCUGUGUUCCAAGAAGACAUAGACUCCAGCAAGGGCAGGGGCAGCAGACAACCCAGGUCACCGCGGGACAUGCAGGGCUGCAGUACCUGCCCUCAGCUACCCAUGGCUAGGCAAGUCGGGCUUUUCUGUUUGCGCCCUCAUCCUGUUUAACAUCCUGUUUAACAAUCCCUACCUUAAGUCCUUCUCUGUUUGAAACAUCUAGAGUGGUUUUGUUUCCUGACUGACGGAAUCGCCCAACAUCUAAAUUAUCCUUGAAAUUCCGUGAGGGGUGAUGAGCUGUGCCUUAGACCCACGUGGCAUCUUUCCAUAAAUCUAACAGAGUCAGACCUUCUGGAAGCAAUGGAAGAGACUGCUGGGUUUUUGUUUUGGAUUUUUUUUUUUUUUUUUCCAGCUAGAACACCAGAUGAAUUCAGUAAAUGGCUUUAAGCUUUGAGAAUGCAGCUUGGAUGCAAAAUAUGUAUCCUUAAACACUCGGCUCCUUCAGGAAGAUGAGAUCCACACGUGAGGCAGGUACAUACAAACAGAAGCCAGUUGGAGAGAGCAGCAGAUCUAUGACCCCUGCUAGUGCUUAUCUCAUACUCACAUACACUGGGAACAUAGAGUGAUGACCAGGAAAAGAAAAAGCAAACUGGCCUCACGCCAGACUAUGUCGGCAAUCCCCGUUUUGCGGAGUGUGUGUACGGUGAGAUCCACACAAUACAAUGUUCAUGGGACAUGACUCUACCUCUGCUGCAGUGAGAGGGAUGUGGGAUACUGUUGUUUUAUAGAAACUGCUAGUUGUGCUUCUUUUCAAUGGUACAGAAAUAGUAAAUUGA